GCAAGUCGACGGUAGCACAGAGAGCUUGCUCUCGGGUGACGAGUGGCGGACGGGUGAGUAAUGUCUGGGAAACUGCCUGAUGGAGGGGGAUAACUACUGGAAACGGUAGCUAAUACCGCAUAACGUCGCAAGACCAAAGAGGGGGACCUUCGGGCCUCUUGCCAUCAGAUGUGCCCAGAUGGGAUUAGCUAGUAGGUGGGGUAACGGCUCACCUAGGCGACGAUCCCUAGCUGGUCUGAGAGGAUGACCAGCCACACUGGAACUGAGACACGGUCCAGACUCCUACGGGAGGCAGCAGUGGGGAAUAUUGCACAAUGGGCGCAAGCCUGAUGCAGCCAUGCCGCGUGUAUGAAGAAGGCCUUCGGGUUGUAAAGUACUUUCAGCGGGGAGGAAGGCGGUGAGGUUAAUAACCUCAUCGAUUGACGUUACCCGCAGAAGAAGCACCGGCUAACUCCGUGCCAGCAGCCGCGGUAAUACGGAGGGUGCAAGCGUUAAUCGGAAUUACUGGGCGUAAAGCGCACGCAGGCGGUCUGUCAGUCGGAUGUGAAAUCCCCGGGCUCAACCUGGGAACUGCAUUCGAAACUGGCAGGCUAGAGUCUUGUAGAGGGGGGUAGAAUUCCAGG
Molecule: ribosomal RNA, 623 nt
Filed under: bacterium
Lineage: Bacteria
Description: bacterial SSU rRNA
Rfam family: Bacterial small subunit ribosomal RNA
Source: RNAcentral